Long non-coding RNA from Hyaena hyaena (striped hyena), 592 nucleotides. RefSeq lists it as uncharacterized. The record is from RefSeq and is a predicted model, not a curated record. Lineage: Eukaryota; Metazoa; Chordata; Mammalia; Carnivora; Hyaenidae. The transcript has 4 exons.
GGGCUGUGUCCCCAGAGGGGAGGCUGGGAGACAGUGUGCACGGAGGGGGCCAGCAGUGAGUCGUCUUGGACAGGUCAACAGCAGGAGGCAGGAGCUCUCCCUCCAGGCAGGGGGUUGAGGAAGGUAAAGAAGAGCCAUGAUCCCUGCUCUUGAGGACCUACUGUGUUCCAAGCCCUCUGCGUGUCUCAGGUGAUCGCCCCAUCCUGGAGGUGGCCUCCGUCUCAUUUCAUGGAGGGCUCAGAUGAUGAGGCCAGGCAAGUUCAUUAACGUGCUCAAGGCCGGGAGCCAGGAAUCUGGACCGGGUCUGCGUGGCUUUAAGCCAGGGCUCUCUCUGUGGCACCGCAUGGCUCUACUGUGUGUGGCCCUGUUCAGCUCGGCACCUCGGACGCAGCAGGGCAGCCCUGUUCCGGGAAGUGGCUCCUACCCUGCGGCUGCAUUUCACAGCCCCCCCCCCUUCCUGGGGGUAGCUGACAUGGUUGGAGAUGGGGGUACAGGGAGGCGGGAAUGGAAGCUAUCGUGCAGUGGCCAGAACGUCAGUUGUACAAGGGAGAAGAAGGGUCCUGAGUGUCCGCAGCACAAGGAAGGAAGGACG